GUCCCUGUAGCUCAGCAGGAUAGAGCGACUGCCUCCUAAGCAGUAGGUCGGAGGUUCGAAUCCUCUCAGGGACG
This 74-nucleotide transfer RNA is filed under the name Tetragenococcus halophilus. RNAcentral describes it as "tRNA-Arg". It matches the Rfam family "tRNA". From Rfam's summary of the family: Transfer RNA (tRNA) molecules are approximately 80 nucleotides in length. Their secondary structure includes four short double-helical elements and three loops (D, anti-codon, and T loops). RNAcentral also lists the same sequence under 4 other names. The record is from RNAcentral. Lineage: Bacteria; Bacillati; Bacillota; Bacilli; Lactobacillales; Enterococcaceae.